ACAGAAGAUGGAGAAAAUAAUUAGUACUUUAGUUCUAGACUCCGAAGCCACCAGGUGGAGCACUAGUAGGCAUAGUAACGUUACAGCAGGAAGGUCAGUGUGUUGAACAACAGAUCGACCCUAAGCCAAUCUGUGGGGACUUGUUCUUUUCUCCAUGUUCUCCAGCUUUCAGCUCUCACUCUUAGAACCUGCCGUAGGUGGAGAAGGUUGUUUGGAGACCAGGGUGUGGACGGUUGUUUGAGAGUCUAUGUUCAGUUACAAAGUUACUGUCCCAAAGUGUGUGCUUCAUUAGAUCAGUCCAAUUGUGUGUUUUUAUUUCUUUUUCAGAUUCUUUAUUUGCCGUUGACUUGACUGGCAGCCAGACUGAGUGAUCUGCCGUGUUCCCAGCAGCAUAACAGCGGACACACUCAGACUUCCUGUCACACACAUUAGUGUGUCACCACAAGAUCAACUGUUUCCACCCAGGCAGAUGAGUCAGAAGCCUGUGGUCUUUGCUGUGUGUCUGACCUGUGGACUGGAAGACCCCUGGGUUGCACUGACAGUACCGGGAGGCGAAGGCCUCCAUCAUUCUGUCAAUCUUCUGGGCUUCACCUGGUAAACGGAAGCUCCACAGGAACUGCCUGUCAGAGACACAAGACACCACCGGAUUAGAACGUUCCACAUGUGGUCGUAGAUGAGACUGCAGGAUAACUGUGUGGAAAAUUCAUCAGCCUUUAUUGGAGUGCUGGUGUGUGAGUGCAGAUAAGCUGCCUGGGCCUCUGUUUCCGUGGUUUACAGCAUGUAAGUCCACAUAAAGUACUGCAGUAAAAGCAGCACAUAUGAAGGUUCGAAGUACUAGAUGUAACGACUAUAUAAAUACAUGUUUUUCUAGUUUUACAGUUUAAACAGUCCUUGGUUCAAUAGGCAGGAAAAGUGAAGCAGUGGAGAAGAAGUUGCAGUUACACUGUUGAAUGACUGGUUUUUUUCAGUUAUUUCACAGAAGGACUCAAAUAUUUUUUUAAUUUAAUAUUUAAGGAAGGGAAUACUGAAUGAUUCAUCAUUCCUGUGUUUCUGAUCCUGUUUAGAGGAAAACAGAUUAUGACUGCAGGAGUCCCUACUUGUCAGCUCGCCCCCUAGAGGUCACAACCAGUUGACAACCAAGAUGGCUGCUCAUGGCAUGUAAGUAAGAGUUGUGUUUUAACUAGUACUGGUCAACACUGCACUGUUUGACUGGUUGGUUAGAACCAGGUAAACUAUGACAAACUCCUGUGGAGAUUUACUGAAGAUUAAUUAAGGGCACUUAAAAAAAUUGAAUCAGGGUCAGGGGUCAAACUAGGUCAAUACACAGACCAUGAAAACAUCAUCAUUUUGAUGACAUGUCAGCUGAGGGUCGACCUGGAUUUGAAUGCGUCCGC
Long non-coding RNA from Cynoglossus semilaevis (tongue sole), 1394 nucleotides. RefSeq lists it as uncharacterized. The record is from RefSeq and is a predicted model, not a curated record. Lineage: Eukaryota; Metazoa; Chordata; Actinopteri; Pleuronectiformes; Cynoglossidae. The transcript has 3 exons.